AGUGAACGCUGGCGGUAGGCCUAACACAUGCAAGUCGAACGGCAGCACAGUAAGAGCUUGCUCUUACGGGUGGCGAGUGGCGGACAGGUGAGGAAUACAUCGGAAUCUACUUUUUCGUGGGGGAUAACGUAGGGAAACUUACGCUAAUACCGCAUACGACCUACGGGUGAAAGCAGGGGAUCUUCGGACCUUGCGCGAUUGAAUGAGCCGAUGUCGGAUCAGCUAGAUGGCGGGGUAAAGGCCCACCAAGGCGACGAUCCGUAGCUGGUCUGAGAGGAUGAUCAGCCACACUGGAACUGAGACACGGUCCAGACUCCUACGGGAGGCAGCAGUGGGGAAUAUUGGACAAUGGGCGCAAGCCUGAUCCAGCCAUACCGCGUGGGUGAAGAAGGCCUUCGGGUUGUAAAGCCCUUUUGUUGGGAAAGAAAAGCAGCAGGUUAAUACCCCGCUGUUCUGACGGUACCCAAAGAAUAAGCACCGGCUAACUUCGUG
Molecule: ribosomal RNA, 492 nt
Filed under: uncultured bacterium
Lineage: Bacteria
Description: partial 16S ribosomal RNA
Rfam family: Bacterial small subunit ribosomal RNA
Source: RNAcentral